RNAcentral lists this long non-coding RNA (1198 nucleotides) under Rhinopithecus bieti (black snub-nosed monkey). RNAcentral's name for it is "lncRNA (ENSRBIG00000045043.1)". Lineage: Eukaryota; Metazoa; Chordata; Mammalia; Primates; Cercopithecidae. The record is from RNAcentral.
ACCGGGCUGGCAGGACGGCGGCGGCGACUGGCCCGCGGGCCGGCCCCGGCGCGAGGGGAGCGGCUGGGAGCGCCCCGUUUCUCACAGACCCCAACAUGGCGUCGGCCGCCACCGCCCGCGACGACAACACCUCCCGGCGCCGCGACGGCUCCGGGACCGCGGGAGGAAGCGCCCGGAAAGUUUCACGUCUCCCCUCCCGGCCCGCCAGGAGCCGGCGGACCACCCACUUGGGCUUCACCUACCCCGACGGCCGCAGGCGGCGGCGGCAGCGAAGGCGAAGGUCCGAUCCUCCUCGUCGCGGACGCAGGGCGCGGACUCUGCCGGUUCCCCGCCCGGGCCUUCCAGGGUGUGUGCGGUCCGCAGCCCCACUCAGCCGGCGCGAUCCAGACGCGGUGGGCGGGCCGGACUCCAGCGCAGCCUCUCGCAGCAUAUCUUCACCUUAUUCUCGCCUUGUCUCUGCUUUCCUACAAGAAAAGUCCUGACACACAUUCAACUUUCCCAGAAAUGGAGUACUGUGGAUAUAAAGAGAAAUAAAAAUACGUUCAUCAUGGAUUUGAAGACCAAAAUUAUCAUGGAAAUCUUCCACUGGGGGAUAAGGUUGGAGUGGAAAGAAAAUAUAGAGUGAACUCAUCUUGUUUAUUUGUAUAUCAAUUCCUUCAUUUAUUUACAAAUAUCUAUUGCCUGCUAUGAACUAAGUAUUGUUCCUAAAGUUGGGGAUGGCCUGGGGUAGGGCAGGUAGAAGAAACAGACAGAGUCCCUGUCUUCAUGGAGCUCAUAUUCUAGCAAGGAGAAAAAAGACUCCUUUUUUGUGGUGAGUACAAUAAAGGAAAUAAAGAUGAUAGGCAGCAUGAUGUCACAGGAAUCAAGAAUCAUUUGACAUACUUAGUUUGAAACAUCUAUUAGUUAUCUCACAUAGCAAUAUCAAGUCUAGAGUAAGGAGAGAGAUCAGGACUGAAAAUACAAAUUUGACCAUUGUCUACGAAGAGAUGGGGAAUGAGAGUAGAGUUAAGGGUGCUUGCAAGAAAAUUUUAAGAAUAAAAUCUUUCAAAAUCAAAGAUACAAAGAUGAACGAAUAUAAUCUGUCUGUUAUGAACUGAAUGUUUGUGUCACCCCCAAAUUCAUGUUAGAAUCCUAACCCCCAAAGUGAUAGAAUUAGGAGUUUGAGCCUUUGAGAGUUAAUGAGGUCAUGAGAAUGGAG